RNA transcript from Cajanus cajan (pigeon pea), 2259 nucleotides. RefSeq lists it as uncharacterized. The record is from RefSeq and is a predicted model, not a curated record. NCBI's taxonomy places the organism in Eukaryota, Viridiplantae, Streptophyta, Magnoliopsida, Fabales, Fabaceae.
CUAGAUCAUUCCCUACCAAUCUCUGAUAUAUAGUCCAAUAGUGUCAUAAGAUAUUUGACACGUUUCAUAUCUUGUUAUCUUUCAUCUCAUAGCAUCACAUCAUUCAUUAAGAUUUCUUUCUCUUCUAUUUGUGUUUCUCUUACCAAAGUGUCUAGCAAACAUUAUUCUUUCCUCAAUAAUCGAACACGUAAAUCAGGGUCUUGUACUAGCUUUCCAAAGGAAGAAAGUGAGUUGAUUCCUGAGUUGUAUCAUCUUUCCAAGGUUCUUUUCCUGAACUUUUUGUCUCUGUGUUCGUGUGUGUGCGUGCCUUGGAGUUUCUUGAUUUUUGGUACAUGGUGUUGAAAGAAGCUAAUUCCAUGAUGCUCAAAGAUCUAAUGGAAGAAAAGCAGUUAAAUUUCAAUCAGCCACUAUUAUCAGUAAGGCGGUUCUCAUCAACAGUGGCCUCAGAAACAGACCACAAAAGCAAAACUGAUAACCCAUUUCUUCCACCUCCUCCCGCUUACAAAUCAGACUUAAAGUCAGUUCCAGUGAGGAAUGCAGGAACUGUUCCUUUUUUAUGGGAGAAGGCCCCAGGAAGGCCCAAAGAUGAAAGCAAAUUACAGGCACAAGCUGUUGAGGAGCCUCCAAUCAUCACUCCAAACAUUCCACCUGGGAGAGUGUCACACAUUAGGCAACAAUCACUUGCUGAUAUGAGAACUGGAAGCACCCUUUCCAACUCUCAAAGUGUUGCUUCUUUGGAUAGAAAGUCAACAAAAUAUUCAAAAGAUGAUAAGGAGAAGGGAGGUUUUGAUUCAGAUGAUGGAGAUGAGGCCUAUGAAGAUGCUCUUGACAUACUUUCCAGGACUGACUCAUUCUUCAUGAGCUGUAGUGUGAAUGGUUUGAGUGGAUGGGAUGAACAAGAGGUACAACCGUGCGGAAGUUUCUCAAGUGAUUUCAUGAUUGAUAGGUUCUUGCCUGCAGCAAAGGCAAUGACAUCUGAAGCACCUCAAUAUGCUUCCAAGAAGGCACAUGUUGGACAAGAGCAACAAAAACAGAAAAAGAAAGAACUGAAUACAGAAAGUUCAUGUCCCUUUAAUCAGCAUAGGCCAAAAGCUUUGCCAUAUUACAACCAAGAUGCUGAUAGGGAAGAAAGUGAAGAUGAGAGUGAUGAUUGCAAUGAAAAUGAAAAUUACACAACCACAACCUGUGGCCGAUUUCCUCGGUUCUGCCUUUUGAAUCCAAUAACUGGACUGAGGAUGGUGGAUAAGGUUCAAAGAAAUGCAGCUCAUGGAAUGCAACCUAAAUCAGCUGCUUCUCACAUUGAAUGCACAAAAGAGCAAGCUAGGACUCCUUAUAGGAAAAAGUUAGACUCCCAGUCUGGCUUUACAGAUGAAAAAGAGAUUUUGGAUAUUCUUGUGAAAUCUAAACAUGGCAAUGAUCCACAUCAAAGAAGUUGCAGCAAAUCUGUAUCCUGUGAGAGCACUCAGCAUGAUCCUAGUUAUGAAAGCUAUGCUGAGAAAACUCUGCAUGUAGAUUCUGUACAUAAAGUUAAGUCUCAAACCAAUAACAUAGGGGGUGAUUUUGAGACUUUGAGAAGGGAUAAUGGCAUUUAUAAUAAUCCUUCAAUAGACUUAGAAAAGCAAGGAUUGACAAUGCCUCACAACCAAGGAAGUGACUUAUAUCAGGAUUCUAAUAUUCUAACUCAGAAUUCAGAACUUGAUAUGAAAAGCCAACUAGCUACCAAAUGUUUUGAUCAAGAAUGCACUUUGGCUAGCUCAAAGGUGAGACAUGAUGGGAUGAUUGACUUAGAAAGCCAAUGUCUUACAAACUUGGGCCAUCAAGAAAAAUAUGGUGCAAACUAUUUCCCACUUCCUCUUGUCCUCCCUUCACUAAAAGCUCCAUCAGAGUCUUGGCUUAAGCGCACUAUACCUACCAUUUCCAAAAGGAAGAUGACUUCACACUCUAACCUUAUUGCAAACAUUUAUGCACGAAGUCUAGUUUCCAAGACAACAGCACUUUAAGAGGGAAACUAUUGUCAAAUCCUCUAAUGUACAUCAUGGACAUCUGAAUCUCCCUGAGGAACUACAAACAUGCACACCAGAAACUUGAGCUUUAUGGAGAUCAGGCCUUUUAUAAUCUGACAUGUUUACAAAAAAUUUGGUGAUGUAAUUUUUGCAUCAGUGUUAUGUGUUCCCAUCCUCCAUGAGGUGUAUAUAACUGACACUGUAAAUCACUACUGCCUUUUGUAUCUUGUUAUUGUAAUAAUAAUUAGUUGAGUCA